UGGAAGAUUUUACAGUGUUAGAACUGUUCUC
Molecule: non-coding RNA, 31 nt
Filed under: Mus musculus (house mouse)
Lineage: Eukaryota; Metazoa; Chordata; Mammalia; Rodentia; Muridae
Source: RNAcentral